AUGGCUCCCCCUACGCCGUCCUCGUCUCCGAUGCCGGUUAUGGACGCACGGAUGAGGCUGAUAAUCCAGACAACAGCACUGAUUAGUGUGAUUCAGGCAUGGGUCAUGUUCAUGCACCAGAGAGUUGUCCGUCGUGCUGGGAGACCGUUGAUCCGCUAUGGUCCAUUGUUUCCCCGGGAACAGGAGAGGAUCCAAAAUAUGAACUACAUCUACAACUGUAAUGACGUCGAGGCUCUGUGGAUGCUUAGAAUGAAAAGAGCACCAUUUUCCAGGCUUGUUGAGACCUUCAGGAGCAGGGGCCUGUUACAAGAUAGCAUCAACACCAGUGUCGAAGAGCAAGUGGCCACGUUCCUCCAUGUUGUUGGCCAUAACCAGAGGUUCAGGGUCAUUCACAACACGUUCAGGAGGUCAAUGGAGACCAUCUCUAGGUAA
This 432-nucleotide ribosomal RNA is filed under the name Triticum aestivum (bread wheat). Its description in RNAcentral is "partial small subunit ribosomal RNA". Lineage: Eukaryota; Viridiplantae; Streptophyta; Magnoliopsida; Poales; Poaceae. The record is from RNAcentral.